This 156-nucleotide ribosomal RNA is filed under the name Trametes versicolor. RNAcentral describes it as "5.8S ribosomal RNA". It matches the Rfam family "5.8S ribosomal RNA". From Rfam's summary of the family: 5.8S ribosomal RNA (5.8S rRNA) is a component of the large subunit of the eukaryotic ribosome. It is transcribed by RNA polymerase I as part of the 45S precursor that also contains 18S and 28S rRNA. RNAcentral also lists the same sequence under 2 other names. The record is from RNAcentral. Lineage: Eukaryota; Fungi; Basidiomycota; Agaricomycetes; Polyporales; Polyporaceae.
AACUUUUAGCAACGGAUCUCUUGGCUCUCGCAUCGAUGAAGAACGCAGCGAAAUGCGAUAAGUAAUGUGAAUUGCAGAAUUCAGUGAAUCAUCGAAUCUUUGAACGCACCUUGCGCUCCUUGGUAUUCCGAGGAGCAUGCCUGUUUGAGUGUCAUG